AGGGCGCAAGCGUUUUGCGGAAUCACUGGGCGUAAAGCGCGUGUAGGCGGUUUGUUAAGUCAGGGGUGAAAUCCCGGAGCUCAACUCCGGAACUGCCUUUGAUACUGGCAAGCUAGAGUCCGGAAGAGGUGAGUGGAACUCCUAGUGUAGAGGUGGAAUUCGUAGAUAUUAGGAAGAACACCAGUGGCGAAGGCGGCUCACUGGUCCGGUACUGACGCUGAGGUGCGAAAGCGUGGGGAGC
RNAcentral lists this ribosomal RNA (241 nucleotides) under uncultured bacterium. RNAcentral describes it as "partial 16S ribosomal RNA". It matches the Rfam family "Bacterial small subunit ribosomal RNA", at positions 529 to 769 of the family's 1533-position model. The record is from RNAcentral.